Molecule: ribosomal RNA, 265 nt
Filed under: uncultured archaeon
Lineage: Archaea
Description: partial 16S ribosomal RNA
Rfam family: Archaeal small subunit ribosomal RNA
Source: RNAcentral
AGUCACUGACAUUAGAUACCCCUGUAGUCCAGGGUGUAAACGCUGCAGACUUGGUGUUGGAGGCCCUUUGGGGGCAUUCAGUGCCGGAGAGAAGUUGUUAAGUCUGCUACUUGGGGAGUACGUCCGCAAGGAUGAAACUUAAAGGAAUUGGCGGGGGAGCACCGCAACGGGAGGAGCGUGCGGUUUAAUUGGAUUCAACACCGUAAAACUCACCAGGGAAGACUGCUACAUGAAGGCCGAGAUGAAGACUCUGCUAGAUUUUCAG